RNA transcript from Fragaria vesca subsp. vesca, 199 nucleotides. RefSeq lists it as uncharacterized. The record is from RefSeq and is a predicted model, not a curated record. NCBI's taxonomy places the organism in Eukaryota, Viridiplantae, Streptophyta, Magnoliopsida, Rosales, Rosaceae. The transcript has 2 exons.
AACACCUUUUUACCAUCAUAAUAUUGGUUAAUGUAAAGGGGGUUUGUACCAGGUCUCUAGAUUAAUAAUCAGAUUAUGGCCAACGUGUUUUCUUCUCUAAGGGGCUAUUAUAUGGACGGGCUUCUUCAUCCUCCAUCAAAUUGAUUCACGCAUAUAUGCUUUUGGGAGCGCAGCAGCGAAUGUUUAUCUGUGAUAUGAU